UGGUGUUGUUCGUUAAAGUGCUGUUUGAUGC
This 31-nucleotide non-coding RNA is filed under the name Mus musculus (house mouse). Lineage: Eukaryota; Metazoa; Chordata; Mammalia; Rodentia; Muridae. The record is from RNAcentral.